UAGGGAAUCUUCCACAAUGGACGAAAGUCUGAUGGAGCAAUGCCGCGUGAGUGAAGAAGGUUUUCGGAUCGUAAAACUCUGUUGUGAGGGAAGAACAAGUACGAGAGUAACUGCUCGUACCUUGACGGUACCUCAUUAGAAGGCCACGGCUAACUACGUGCCAGCAGCCGCGGUAAUACGUAGGUGGCAAGCGUUGUCCGGAAUUAUUGGGCGUAAAGCGCGCGCAGGCGGUCCCUUAAGUCUGAUGUGAAAUCCCACGGCUCAACCGUGGAAGGUCAUUGGAAACUGGGGGACUUGAGUACAGAAGAGGAAAGCGGAAUUCCAAGUGUAGCGGUGAAAUGCGUAGAGAUUUGGAGGAACACCAGUGGCGAAGGCGGCUUUCUGGUCUGUAACUGACGCUGAGGCGCGAAAGCGUGGGGAGCAAACAG
Molecule: ribosomal RNA, 428 nt
Filed under: uncultured bacterium
Lineage: Bacteria
Description: bacterial SSU rRNA
Rfam family: Bacterial small subunit ribosomal RNA
Source: RNAcentral